Molecule: long non-coding RNA, 1345 nt
Organism: Lates calcarifer (barramundi perch)
Lineage: Eukaryota; Metazoa; Chordata; Actinopteri; Centropomidae
Exons: 5
Source: RefSeq, a predicted model, not a curated record
CAGUCACCUUCAGAUUUUGGUGCACUAAUGAUACCUCUGGCGUAUGGCUGUACGCCAGAUCUUAUAAUACAUCUAAGGCUUCUGUCCGGUCUUUACGGUGGAUGUAUUUUAAGACCAAUCAGAGGUGGUUGCUAGGCGGACUAGAUUCGGCCGGCCAAUCAGCGUUUUUCUGCCAAUGUUAAUUGACGUAUGUCGUCGUUGGUCACAUUGUAUCUCGUCAUUGGUCCCGUCCUUCUGGGAGGAGCGUAGAGAGGCGGAAGUCGGAAAACAUUUAAACCAAAUUCGAAGCAUUGCAUCUGUUUGCCAGUACUGUGAGCAAACGUUAUUACUGAGGAGGUCUGGCUGCUAAAACAAAUGCUGCUGUGGAGCUGAGGAGGUCUGGAUGCUGGUUUUUGUCGUUAAUGAAGAGGUCUGGAUUGCUAAAACAAACUCUGGAGCUGCUUUUUGUCGAACAGGAGUGAGACUGGACGCUGAACACACUUGCGGCGCGAAGGUUUACUCAUUCAGCUGCUGCAGCCUGGACAGAAACACCAGCUGUCACCGCACAAACUAAACAGGUGUCACCACUUUGUCAAUGGUCAUAGAGAGUCUUUGUACAAUGAAGAAGUUCUUUGAAAUCAGGAAUGAAGCCUCCAGGAUUCAAACUUGAACCAUUAAAUUACAGAGAGAAGAGACAGACGUGAAGACAUUUCCAGAAGGUCUUCAGCUGCUGUCGUCUUCUUCUGCUGCAGAGACAAGAACGUGUUAAUCACAGAAACUGAUCAGUAAAUCUAUUUUUCCUUUCCUAAACUGACCUAAUUCAUGUAUUUAUACCAUGAUUCAUGUUUAUCAGAGAUAGAUAAACAUGAACCAUGUGUACAUACAUUAAAAAAAUUAACUGUACCAAGUUAUUUCACGAAAACUAUUUUUACUUACUAAAUUAUUUUUUACGUGUGCUACUACAUUUUUUAACAACAUAAUAUCCUGUGGCAUCUUUUAAUGACAGAAUACACUGACAUUUUUAUGCCUUAAGACAAAAGAACUAUCUUAAAGCAGCAAUCUUAUCUUUGUUUUCCACAGACGCAUAUUCACACACACACACCUUUACACAGUGUUUGUGGGUUAAGUUAGAUUUUGCAUUCAUCAUUUCAUUUUGGUAUUUCGCUAUUUCAAACAAGUGCAAUAUCAUUGCUCAAAUCCAUUCUGUUACUGUGUACAUAGUCCUGUUUAUAUUGUUAUAAAUGAUGUUUUAUAUCUUGUUUGUCAUGCCUUUUUAUUAUUUUUGCUGCUGCAACACUGAAAUUUCCCUGCUGUGGGACUUAACUGUUGGAUUAUCUUAUGCUUACUCAAAUAAAUACUUCUGAAC